GUACUGGUGAAGAGUCCCAAACUAGGACGAAACAGUUGUCCAGUAC
Molecule: non-coding RNA, 46 nt
Organism: Trichobilharzia regenti
Lineage: Eukaryota; Metazoa; Platyhelminthes; Trematoda; Strigeidida; Schistosomatidae
Source: Rfam